AACCGAUCGAACGCUAGUGGCGCCCUUCUUGGAGACGGUGCCAUCUGGUAGAGACACUCCUCCACGACAUGAGGGCAAAGUGGAGAAAGAAGCGUAUGCGCAGGCUGAAGCGCAAGAGGCGAAAGAUGAGGCAAAGGUCCAAGUAGAAUGCUUCCCCCUACAACACCAUGGCUGACCCUUCUGGACAACACGGGACCAAGGAUCUCAUGUUCAAAGUCUGAUCUGAGAUGUGCCAUCCAUGCCAAUGAGAGGCUUUAAAGAGACCACCUGCCUGGGAAAAUUGAUAUGGGGACAUUCUGGAUUCUCUUCUACUAAACCUAUCCUACUCCAUUGCUUUUGUUUAUACUUUCCAAUAAAGUUUUUGGUUUAAA
This is a long non-coding RNA of Oncorhynchus masou masou (cherry salmon), 371 nucleotides long. RefSeq lists it as uncharacterized. NCBI's taxonomy places the organism in Eukaryota, Metazoa, Chordata, Actinopteri, Salmoniformes, Salmonidae. The record is from RefSeq and is a predicted model, not a curated record. The transcript has 3 exons.